Molecule: long non-coding RNA, 195 nt
Organism: Neopelma chrysocephalum (saffron-crested tyrant-manakin)
Lineage: Eukaryota; Metazoa; Chordata; Aves; Passeriformes; Pipridae
Exons: 3
Source: RefSeq, a predicted model, not a curated record
CCAGGCCGCCCACUGGGUGCAGCCCCACAGCCCCGCCCUGGCCCGCUUCUACCUGAGCACCCAAAGAGGGGCCUCCCGGCGCCUGGUGCUGCGCCUGGCCCCCCCGGUGAAGCGUCUCGUGUGUCGCCGCUGCUGCUCCCUCCUGCUGCCCGGGGAGGGGUCGGGGCAGCGACUGCGAGGGCGGGGCCAGCCCCG